GAUCUUGCAUGAUCUUACAAGAUCUUUCCAAGUUCUUGCAGGAUCUUACCUAAGAUCUUGCAGGAUCUUGCAAGAUCUUUCCAUGUUCUUGCAGGAUCUUACCUAAGAUCUUGCAAGAUCUUGCCAUUAUCAUGGCAAGAUCUUGCAAGAUCUUGCCAUUAUCAUGGCAAGAUCUUGCAGGAUUUGUACCAAGAUCAUGCCAAGAUCUUACAUGAAUCCUGCAAGAUCAUGGAAAGAUCUUGCAUGAUCUUGCAAGAUCUUUCCAAGUUCUUGCAGGAUCUUAC
RNAcentral lists this small RNA (284 nucleotides) under Paramuricea clavata. The record is from RNAcentral. Lineage: Eukaryota; Metazoa; Cnidaria; Anthozoa; Malacalcyonacea; Plexauridae.